CCUACGGGUGGCAGCAGGGAGGAAUAUUGGUCAAUGGGCGCGAGCCUGAACCAGCCAAGUAGCGUGAAGGAUGACUGCCCUACGGGUUGUAAACUUCUUUUAUAAAGGAAUAAAGUGAGGCACGUGUGCCUUGUUGUAUGUACUGUAUGAAUAAGGAUCGGCUAACUCCGUGCCAGCAGCCGCGGUAAUACGGAGGAUCCGAGCGUUAUCCGGAUUUAUUGGGGUUAAAGGGAGCGUAGAUGGGUUGUUAAGUCAGUUGUGAACGUUUGCGGCUCAACCGUAAAAUUGCAAUUGAUACUGGCAGCCUUGCGUACCGUUGAGGUAGGCGGCAUUCGUUGUGUAGCGG
This 346-nucleotide ribosomal RNA is filed under the name uncultured bacterium. RNAcentral's name for it is "partial 16S ribosomal RNA". It matches the Rfam family "Bacterial small subunit ribosomal RNA", at positions 338 to 681 of the family's 1533-position model. The record is from RNAcentral.